CUCAGUGUAGCCGAAACAUUUGAUCCUUUUAACAGAAAGGAGAAAUGAAUAAUUUAGAACUAUAAUGAAGCUUCCAAAAUAUCUAGGGGCAGGGAGACACCAGCAAAUACCAAGAUCGCAUGAAUGCCUAAACAGAGCAGUCCACAGUAAGCUAUGAGCAUCCAGCCCUCAAACUGGAAAAGACAGCGGAGUGGUGGGUUGAUGAAGAAUGGAGUAACAAUAAAGGAGGCAGAUGAACAACAACAAAAAAAGAUUGGACAGGUUCUUUAUGUUUUGAGUACCAUGGGGCGAAGUAUACAUUUUAUUUUUAGAAGACUCCUGAGAGAAAGUAAAGGCUCAUAGAAUGAAGCUCAUACAUUUAUACAGACUUGUUUCAUUUGAAUUUCAAAGGUUUCUUCCAGUCCAGUUUGGAUUCACCACAACCAUGCCAACACAAUCUGUUC
This 443-nucleotide long non-coding RNA is filed under the name Capra hircus (goat). RNAcentral describes it as "lncRNA (ENSCHIG00000004804.1)". The record is from RNAcentral. Lineage: Eukaryota; Metazoa; Chordata; Mammalia; Artiodactyla; Bovidae.